RNAcentral lists this ribosomal RNA (126 nucleotides) under Salinivibrio sp. SS2. RNAcentral describes it as "partial 23S ribosomal RNA". It matches the Rfam family "Bacterial large subunit ribosomal RNA", at positions 2815 to 2925 of the family's 2925-position model. Lineage: Bacteria; Pseudomonadati; Pseudomonadota; Gammaproteobacteria; Vibrionales; Vibrionaceae. The record is from RNAcentral.
UAGAGCUUCGAGCCUCUAAAGGGUUGUCGUAGACUACGACGUUGAUAGGCAGGGUGUGUAAGCGCUGUGAGGCGUUGAGCUAACCUGUACUAAUUGCCCGUGAGGCUUAACCAUACAACACCCAAG